This 468-nucleotide ribosomal RNA is filed under the name uncultured bacterium. RNAcentral's name for it is "partial 16S ribosomal RNA". It matches the Rfam family "Bacterial small subunit ribosomal RNA", at positions 28 to 507 of the family's 1533-position model. The record is from RNAcentral.
GACGAACGCUGGCGGCGUGCUUAACACAUGCAAGUCGAACGGAAAGGCCCUGCUUUUGUGGGGUGCUCGAGUGGCGAACGGGUGAGUAACACGUGAGUAACCUGCCCUUGACUUUGGGAUAACUUCAGGAAACUGGGGCUAAUACCGGAUAGGAGCUCCUGCUGCAUGGUGGGGGUUGGAAAGUUUCGGCGGGUGGGGAUGGACUCGCGGCUUAUCAGCUUGUUGGUGGGGUAGUGGCUUACCAAGGCUUUGACGGGUAGCCGGCCUGAGAGGGUGACCGGCCACCUUGGGACUGAGAUACGGACCAGACUCCUACGGGAGGCAGCAGUGGGGAAUAUUGCACAAUGGGCGGAAGCCUGAUGCAGCAACGCCGCGUGCGGGAUGACGGCCUUCGGGUUGUAAACCGCUUUCGCCUGUGACGAAGCGUGAGUGACGGUAAUGGGUAAAGAAGCACCGGCUAACUACGUG